UGACUUUUUAGUAGUUGGCUGAGAUGGAC
This 29-nucleotide non-coding RNA is filed under the name Rattus norvegicus (Norway rat). The record is from RNAcentral. Lineage: Eukaryota; Metazoa; Chordata; Mammalia; Rodentia; Muridae.